Long non-coding RNA from Myotis brandtii (Brandt's bat), 96 nucleotides. RefSeq lists it as uncharacterized. The record is from RefSeq and is a predicted model, not a curated record. The transcript is spliced from 2 exons. NCBI's taxonomy places the organism in Eukaryota, Metazoa, Chordata, Mammalia, Chiroptera, Vespertilionidae.
GAGGAGGAAGAUAAAGAAGAAGAUGAUGAUAAAUAAGAGGAAUAUUGAACAUCUGAGUCCUGGAUGAUACUAAUAAACUAAUAAUUGCAGAGGUUU